Molecule: long non-coding RNA, 3748 nt
Filed under: Homo sapiens (human)
Lineage: Eukaryota; Metazoa; Chordata; Mammalia; Primates; Hominidae
Description: HSALNT0121047
Source: RNAcentral
UAGUGAUUAAUUGCUACAUUAUAAACCACUUCAAAAAUGAUGGCAUUGAGGGAUUCCUGCUAUGACGGCUGACUGGAUGCAACCAGGAGGAACAUCUCCUACUGAGGAACUGGGACAUCAAGAAGACUGGCACACUCUUAGCAGAACUUCAGAGGGAAGGUUUAUUUGGUGGAUGGUUCCGCAGGCUGCACAAGAAGCAUGGCACCAGCACCUGCAUCUGGUGAAGAUCUCGGCUGCUUCUAAUCCUGACGGAAGGUGAAGGGGAGCCAGCAUUUACAGAGAUCACAUGGCAUGGGGGGAAGUGAGAGGGGUGGAGAGGUUCCAGGCUCCUUUUAACAACCACUUCUUGCAAGAACCAACAGAGCAAGAACUCAUUCUUACCUCAAGGAUGGCACCAACACAUUCAUGAGGGAGCCACCCUCAUGACCAAAAUUAGGCCCCUCCUCCAACACUGGGGAUCAAAUUUCAACGUGAGAUCUGGAGGGUCAAAUAUUCAAACUAUAGCAAGUAACCUGCCCAACAUCACACAAGCCUUUUGCAUCUCCUGUGUAGGUGUCUGCUCAAAUGGUUUUCCGAGGAUCUAGAAGCAAUGACAUCCAGGUAGCCAUGAACAUAGCCAGUGCCUGGAUUUUACCAUUCCCCCUAAUAUGAGCUAAGCUUUUUGGAGAAUGACUGAGUCUAGACCUGGGACAGAGAAUGCACAGAGAUAAAAAUUGAAGAACUGAAAGGAGAUUGAAAUACAGGCUCAAAGACACUGAAGGGCAUUAUUGCAAGCAUCUAAUAAAUUAUUGCAAACAUGUAAGGAAUAAUUGCAAAAAUCUAAGCUGAUUAGGCGGGGCACUGUGGCUCACGCCUGUAAUCCCAGCCCUUUGGGAGGCUGAGGUGGGUGGAUCACGAGGUCAGGAGAUUGAGACCAUCCUGGCUAACACAGUGAAACCCCGUGUCUGCUAAAAAAAAAAAAAAAUAAAUACAAAAAAUUAGUUGGGUGUGGUGGCAGGUGCCUGUAGUGCCAGCUACUCGGGAGGCUGAAGGAGGAGAAUGGCGUGAACCCAAGAGGCGGAGCUUGCAGUGAGCUGAGAUCACCCCACUGCACUCCAACUUGAUUGGAUUGAAGGAUGCAAAGCAUAGUUCCUGGGUGUGUCUGUGAGGGUGUUGCCAAAGGAGGUUAACAUUUGAGUCAGUGGAGUGGGAAAGGCAGACCCACCCUCAAUCUGGGUGGGCACCAUCUAAUCAGCUGCCAGCAAGCCAGAAUAAAAGCAGGCAGAAGAACAUGAAAAGAUGAGACUGGUUUAGUCUUCUUGCCUACAUCAUUCUCCUGUGCUGGAUGCUUUCUUCCCUCAAACGUCGGACUCCAAGUUCUUCAGCUUUGGGACUCGGACUGGCUUCCUUGCUCCUCAGCUUGCAGACAGCCUACUGUGGGACUAUAUGAUUGUGUGAGUCAAUACUCCUUAAUAAAAUCCCUUUAUAUACACAUCUAUCCUAUUAGUUCUGUCCCUCUACAGAACCUUAACUAAAACAAGCCCACAUCGUUUAUUUGGUUGUCCCGUGAGACAUUAUAAUGAAUGGUUCUUGGUCAGUCUGAGGUAUUCCAUGUCAAGGGCCCCUUAGCCCUGAAGCCAGAGAGGCUGGUGAUUCUAUUAUCGCAAUCUUUGUACUAACAGAAUUUAAAGUAUCUGUGGACUGGUCAUCUUUCUGGUAGUAUAUUUAAAGGUUUGAUUAAGCACUUUUUCUAUUUCGAAAAGCCUAACAUAGAUGAAGAAAAUACAACUAAAAUUGUUCCUAUUUUUUAAAUCAUGAAUGAUAUAAAUUGUUUCUUUGUUAAUGUUUUCUUGGCCAUAAGCUUCUUCAAAGAAAAGUGGAUAAUCUAUCUCCAAAAUGUCAUCCCAUUCUCUUUCUCUUCUAAAUUCUACACCUGACUGAAGACCUCAUUUGCCAUCCGGCUCAUUUGUGAGACUCCAAAAAAAAACCUGGAGCUACAAACUGGAAAAAAUACAUCUUUCUAUAUGUAUCCUCUAUUAAUGUCAGCAUAGUGAAUGUAUGACCAGCAAUAUGUCCAUGUAUGUGAAGGGGCCAUUCUGCUACCUACCAACCCUCUCUGUUCCAGAGUUCAUAGAUUGCUAGAGAUCAGAGCACACAACUCCAACAUAAACAGGACUCUAUGGUUUCAACAUGUUAUAAGAGCUUAAGGUGCCUUUGAACUCUGAAAUAUUUUAAAAUAGAUGCUAAAUAUAUAUGUACUAUUUGACUUAUUCUCUUCUAAAAUAUAUUAAAAUUAUAAUGAGAAACUUGAGGUGAUAUGAAUCUAGAAAAUGAUCAUAAAUUGUUAAUGAUUAAAGUCCCAUUACGAGCAAAUCACUGAAAAACAAUGAAGAGAUUAAUAUAUUCUUAUCCAGGCAACAUAUGGUCUUUAAAGUGAAUAUAUAAAAAUGUUCUGUGUUUAUACAUUUCUAAUUUUUCAAAAUAUUCCAAGCAGCUCAAAUUAAUUCUUGGCAUGUGUUGCCAUUUAAGACAUAUUCCAUCUUUUGAGUUACAAAAUAAAAUUAAUUUUUUUCACUUGAGGUUUUAAUUCAUGUGGAUAAUCAAGUGUCAACUGUGUAGAGAAAACCCAUUUCAUCCAAAUUAUGGGUAAAUGGUAUUCUAAGAUAAUGUUGUGUGUUUCUUUCAAAAGUCCUGCCUGUCCUACUUUCCACCCAAUUCCUUUCAUGUCCUGAUCUAUGCUAUACAUUGAUUCUUCCAUUUUUAACUUUCCAAGGAAUACUGUGAAGCCAAGGCUAGAAAUGCCUGGUACAAGUUCACACGAGGUUCCCAAUUUUCUCUGAAAUUUUCCAAUCUACUACAUAUAUUUAUUGACAAUGAUAAAGAUGAUAUCUUUUAUUUACUUAAAUGUCAUUCAAUUGUCUUGCACUACCAUGCUUUCACAGUACUUUCACACUGAUUACCUUAUUUAAUUUUCACAUCGACUCUGGAACAGGCAGGGCAAUAAUACUACAUUCAUUUUUAUAAAUUACAUAGUUGUUAAGGAUUGCUACUCAAAAUACAACCCAGACCUGCUAACCCGCAGCACCCAGUGUUUUCCAUGAUGUCCUAGGUGGAAAUAAUUUGAGUUUUCAUAUUGUAUGUACCUCAGUUGGAAUUCUAUUUCCACUCUUUACUAGCUAGGUGAAUGUGACUUUAAGUAAACUUCUUAAUACCCUUUUUGUGCCUCAGUUUCCUCAUCAGCAAGGUAGAAAUAAUAAAUACAUGUAUAAAAUACCUGGCACAGUUCUCCACGUACCAUAAGUUUUUAACAAAUAGUUGUUGUGAGAAUACUACUGAGUACAUAGACAAUACUCCAUAAAUUCAAGUUUCUUCUUCUCCAGGCAGAUGACAUCAUGGCUCACUGAAAAUGAGAUUGUCACUAAAUGAAACAUUUUGGGAGUAAAAAAUAUUUACAAAUUGAGUUGAACAAUUACCAAUAAUAAGUUAACAUUUAUUGAGCACCUAUUAUCUGCCACACUCUGUCAAUUCUGAAGUGCUUUAUCUGUAAAGCUGGGUGCUAUUCUUAUCUCCAGCUUGUACAUUAAGAAACCGAGGCACAAAUGGUUAAGUAACGACCUAAAAUCACACAACAAAGAGUCACAGAACUGAGAUCAUAAUCAGUAAAUCUGUUUCCAGAGUCCCCCAACUAUAGGUCAAUUUCAAUAUCAAAUGCUAUGUCCAAACGAUUAUAGCAAACAAAUAAAGCCAACUCUUUAUAGAAUGAAGCCCU